RNAcentral lists this small RNA (28 nucleotides) under Bombyx mori (domestic silkworm). RNAcentral describes it as "ovarian small RNA-34638". Lineage: Eukaryota; Metazoa; Arthropoda; Insecta; Lepidoptera; Bombycidae. The record is from RNAcentral.
UGGAUAGAUGGUGCUAUUUGGAUAUUAG